CAGCAGCCACGGGAAUACGGAGGGGGCUAGCGUUGUUUGGAAUUACUGGGCGUAAAGCGCACGUAGGCGGCUUGGUAAGUUAGAGGUGAAAGCCCGAAGCUCAACUCCGGAAUUGCCUUUAAGACUGCCGAGCUAGUAGGUGAGAGAGGUAAGUGGAAUUCCGAGUGUAGAGGUGAAAUUCGUAGAUAUUCGGAAGAACACCAGUGGCGAAGGCGGCUUACUGGCUCAUUCUAGACGCUGAGGUGCGAAAGCGUGGGGAGCAAACAGGAUUAGAUACCCCUGUAGUCCCUGUCUCUUAUAA
This 301-nucleotide ribosomal RNA is filed under the name uncultured bacterium. RNAcentral describes it as "partial 16S ribosomal RNA". It matches the Rfam family "Bacterial small subunit ribosomal RNA", at positions 509 to 809 of the family's 1533-position model. The record is from RNAcentral.